Molecule: unclassified non-coding RNA, 1614 nt
Filed under: Hevea brasiliensis (rubber tree)
Lineage: Eukaryota; Viridiplantae; Streptophyta; Magnoliopsida; Malpighiales; Euphorbiaceae
Source: RNAcentral
UGACAGACUGUAUCCAUUGCAAUGACAGACGAUGCACGUGUCGAAUCCCUUGCUGAUGGGAUUCCAAAAACUUGGUCACUUCCUUGGCGAAACAAAUUAACUCUGUUUCCAUCUGCAUGAAUUUCCAUACCCACUGAAUGGCUAGGACCAGCACCAGAUGAGUCUCUCUGAUAUGGUGAACAGUGUGUAUCAAAAAAAUCUGAGUCACGAGCGCGUUUUGAAGGUCCAGCUGAAAAUUGUCUACCAUCUGUGACUUCAUCACCAUCGCGAUCAAUGACAGUUCCCUCUACGCUAUCAGCAGGUUGCAUCAAGUGAGGCCUAUCAUCUGAGCUGCCACCUAUUUCCAAGCUCCGCUUACGAGAACUAGGCCCUCGAGAUUCAUAUGAAGCAGCACGAUCACCAACCUCGCUGCCUGCAGGCUGACCUAUCAUUAAAUCUCUCCCCAUUUCAACAUCAUGAACAUUCUCAGGUAUUGCUACCCUGUCUGCCUGAGUAAAAGGUAAGCCUCCUGCCAUAGUAAGAUUCAGAUCAACUUCUGUGUUUUGCAGUGAUUUACCCUUGUCCGUUGUUGCCACCUCAUCACGGUCUUCGGUAUGUUCCUUAUCUGUAUCAUCAGCAGCAACCCAACCACUAAUUCCACUGGCAGCACUUACCCCACGUGUCAGUGCCAUUUUUUUGCUAGCAUCAGGAAUAUCAAUGUUGUUGGAAGGAAAACGAGCAGGUCGGGGAACAGUCAAGAAAUCCAAUAUCCUAACAGUAGCACCACAUAAGCUACAAUCUAGUAAGGGUGACCUGGAAUCACAUCUUGACUCAGCUAACAGUUUAUUCUUUCCAGCGUCUUUUUUUGCGGAAGCAGAAUGCGCUUUCUUGCUUAGACCAGGAUCAUGUGAAAGAUGGACUUGGGCCUGGGCAGGGCCAAAAGAACACCCGUUCCGAGCUGAUUGAGCAGAAUGAUCUUCACAGUCUUGAACAUUUAGGAGCCAUCUUGGUUCCCACCCACAAAGACUUGUAAGCUUCUGGGCACGAGAAUACAAACAGGAGGCCCCAUCUCUAGAAGUUUCAAGUUCAGGUAUGCCUUCCGACUUGAAGUCUCCUUCUCCAGAUGUAAAAUUCUGUGACUGGGACAAAAAACGAUCAACCACUGGACCCCGAGAAACCCGCAUCUGCUCAACUGCAGAUGCAGCAACGAUAGGAAGAAACUGAAAUUGCAAGAGCCCAUCACAUCUGUCUUUAUAUCCUCCAAUUAGAGCAGAUUGAGGAGUUGGAGGGAACUGCACCAAGCUAUCAGGACAGCUGUUACCUCUCCAAGGACAGCUGGCUUGGUGGCCAUCAUCCAACUGCUUGGCGAAUGCUUCACUAGCACUUUCAACUUCAGAAGGGAUCCAGGAUGGUAGCAAAACAAAACUCAGGCAUUCACCACAUGAUUCACACACAAUUUUAUCAAUGUCAAUAUUCAUCCAUUUGAGCAAAAGCCAAUGAAUUAGCAAUCUUAGGCUUUCCACACCAAUUCGACGGCUUAAAAGUAGCCAAACGCCUCAGCAGGUCCCCUCUUUCCCAUGGCCUACAUGAAGGCCUUGAUGAUCCCAGAACAGAACCACCAGCACUGGUGCUCAA